UACGUAGGGGGCAAGCGUUGUCCGGAUUUAUUGGGCGUAAAGAGCGUGUAGGCGGCCAGGUAGGUCAGCUGUGAAAACUCGAGGCUUAACCUCGAGACGCCGGCUGAAACCCUCUGGCUAGAGUCCGGAAGAGGAGAGCGGAAUUCCUGGUGUAGCGGUGAAAUGCGCAGAUAUCAGGAAGAACACCCGUGGCGAAAGCGGCUCUCUGGGACGGUACUGACGCUGAGACGCGAAAGCGUGGGGAGCGAACAGG
RNAcentral lists this ribosomal RNA (253 nucleotides) under uncultured bacterium. RNAcentral describes it as "partial 16S ribosomal RNA". It matches the Rfam family "Bacterial small subunit ribosomal RNA", at positions 524 to 776 of the family's 1533-position model. The record is from RNAcentral.